UAUAGUGAUCAAUUAAACUGAUCUCCUAGUAAAAAAGCUAGAAUUACAACAUAAGACCAGAAGACCCUGUGAAGCUUAAAUAAAACUAUUAAACCAUAUAAUAGCUACUUUCGGUUGGGGCGACCUUGGAAAAAAAAAGAACUUCCAAAUAAAAUGAAUAUACCUCAUUAUCUAAACAGGCUAACAAGCCAAAAAUGACCCAGCACAGCUGAUAAUUGAACCAAGUUACUCCAGGGAUAACAGCGCAAUCUUCUUCAAGAGCCCAUAUCAAAAAGAAGGUUUACGACCUCGAUGUUGGAUCAGGACAUCCUAAUGGUGCAGCCGCUAUUAAGGGUUCGUUUGUUCAACGAUUAAUA
Molecule: ribosomal RNA, 356 nt
Filed under: Coronella austriaca
Lineage: Eukaryota; Metazoa; Chordata; Lepidosauria; Squamata; Colubridae
Description: partial large subunit ribosomal RNA
Rfam family: Bacterial large subunit ribosomal RNA
Source: RNAcentral